UGGCAGAACCACCUAAAUUAUAUGGCCCACAUGCACCUAUCAUUGUCAUUAAGACCUCUGAUUACUGCACAUGAGAGUCAUAUAACCCAGGUAGUCUGUCGGGUGCCCUUAGAGGACCCCGAAUCAUCCACAUUUUAACUCAUACAGGAUCAACAUGGAGUUACCACAACAUUACAUCAUUUGUUACAAAAAUAACUUACAUUGGAGUGCGGAAGAUUUAUAACUCAAUUUACAACAUAUGAUGGAAUAUAAACAACUAAAUUUCCAAAAGGUGUGCGGAGUAGCGGAAGCAUCUUAGGUGAAGCUUCUAAGGUAGAAGAGGUGGAUAAAUCAUGUCGCGCCCACCGACAUGACCUCCAUUAGCAGCAUAAGUCAGCACCUGCAACAGGGGUUAUAAAACCCUAAGUACGGGAGUACUCAACAAGACUUACCCGGCAGAAAAAGAGGAGAACUUAGGAAUGCAGGCUUAGGGUAGACAAGGAGUGGCUGAGCAAGGAGCCAAAGUGUUUUGCGGAAAAGCUUACUAAUAGUGCAUUCUUACUUUCAAGUUUUACCCACGAAUUCCUCUCCUUAAGAGGCCGAGGAGUUCAAGGACAGUGUAUCUAGUUGCUUCUCACAGACGAGUCUGUAAGUUCCUAGUCCUUAAUCAAAGUAUUUUCUAUCCAACGGCCAUAGCUUCAUGUCACUCUGAGUCCGGGAAUUGGGAUCCGAACCUCAUGAGACAUUUCCCCCUUUCUCAUUUUACCACUUAGUUGCAUAAUUAACUACGAUGAGGGUCGAAUGAAUUGAGUCUCCCAAUCGGGGAGCAACGACGAUUCGAAUCGCUUAGCAAUCCAGCUGGAGUUCCUAACCACCCGACAUAUGUAGAACCAAAUCUUGCAUAUAUCAACCCAAGUCAGGCUCUCCCCAAAUUUGACCAGGUUUGCGGCACCCGAGAGCACAGUACCCCACCAUCCUAUAGCCGAUCUAGAUGUUUUCCGGUCAUCUCAGAUCCGUAAGGUGGGCACACGUUACUCUCGCCAUCUUUCCACUCCCAGUGCGCGAGUAGCUGUUCGCGUCGAGGGAUCACAAGACCGGGCUUACCGAGGGCAAGUGGCUAGUACUAUAAAUUCUCAACCCAGCAGGCCAUCAACGGACCGGUCCUUAACCGACACAGUUGGAGACACUACUUUAAGACUCCAUUCUUAAAGCAAGUCCACCGACCGGUCUCAAGUUGAAACAUCAUUGACCAUAAGUGUAUUCCACAACAACCCUUCAAACUUUCUUGUUUGAAAACCUAUCUAGUAGCAGGGCUAAGCAUCACUACGCAGUUUUUAAAAUAAAACAGGUGCCAAGGACAAGAUAACAAGUAUCAAGGUAGUAAAUGCAGCAAGUAGGUUAACCCAAUUCUCAACUACCUAAUGCAGCAUUUUCAAACCAUAAGUGAUAAAAGAUUCAAAACAUUCAAGGAGGGGUUAAUGCAUCCGGGGCUUGCCUUGGUUGCAGGGCAGGGAGGGACCCUCGGAGACUUCCCAAGUCUCGGAUCCUACUUCUUCGAACGGAGCACCGACCUCGGGGUUCGGUUCAACGGUCGCUCCUUCGGUCACGUGCACUAUACGCAAAAUGAUGGAUGCUCAUGAUAUGCGUAUGACAAAUAUGCAAGAAGGACCAAGUCGAGUACAACUUGCCUUCUCGGUGCAACACAGAGUAAAUAAUAAUUAAAUUUGUUUAUCAACUUAGUAUUUUUACCCAAAAGGUUGCAUCUGUAAAUUAAGACUUCUCUUAAUCCAUAAUGAUCUUAAAUUAACUAAUUAUUAAUCCUAUUUACCUUAAUUAAUUCUUAAUUAAUUACUAAUGACAGUAAUUAAGCAUUAAGGCCAAACAAUAAUUAAAUGCCAAAGGUCAUUAAGGUCAAUGACCUCAGGUCAUCACAUAAUCCCAAAAUCACUCAAACCCUAAUUUUGAGAAUUUAACUAAUCAUUACCUAAUUAUUUUGGAAUUAUUACUAAAUUACUAAUUAAGGGUAUAAUAAUAUUUUAUUCAAACUUCAUCCAAAUGCCACCAAACUUUGUGUGAAGCCAGGGAAUAAUAUUCAGAGGCAUCCCACAAAUUUUGGUGAUUUUUGGACAUAUCACUAAAUUAUUGAAAUUCAUGAUAGUGUUAUUUACUAAAUAAAGGCUACCAUUUUCAUACAUAUAUAUAUUGCUAGAAAAUAAAACCUAGCAUUUUUUUUUCUGUGUUCUACAUACUGCAUAGAACAUAUCCAAAUAUUUUCACUAUUUUCGAAUCUGCACAACUUUUCUAUAUAUAUUCAAACAUAAAUCAAAUUUGCACACAUAACCAGGACAGCAGCAUAUAUGCAACUUCAUUCAACCAUAAUUAGAGAUCCAAGCAUCCAAUAAAGGUGAUAUUAGACUUUCUGGAAAGCUUAGAUAAUUUUCUGCAACUUUGUUAUUAUCUUCGAGAACUGAUUUAAUAGAUAAGAUGGCCAAAUAGCAUGAAGAAACAUUCCUGUCCAGACCUUGGACAGAACCAGACAUUAAGCUUCAUACAUCUAUAACCAGAGUUAUAGAUCACCAAAAUUCAUGAUCCAUAACAUUUUGGAAAGCUUAUGAAAAUUACUAUAAUUCAUCUUUUAUUAUGAAAGCAUGAUUCAUAAGUUUAGCAAGUUGAAAUUACACUACUACAGAAACUGAUCCAGGAUUUGAUAGAGAAGAACCAUUUCUGAAACUUAAAUUUAAACAGGCAUAACUCAGAAACUAUAGGGCCAAAUGCCACCAGAAUUUAACACCAGGUAGAUACAUGAAUGAUAUACAACUUUGUUAUAGACAAGUUUCACAUCCAACAUUAUCUACCUAGAGCAAUUCAUAAUGUUCCAAAAACUAUCGAGAAACCACUAACAAUUGAAUUACAGAGAAAAACAUUUCAUUUAUGUUCCAAACUUAAACCUGGGCAAAACCCAGCUCACCAACAGUUGAAAUACAUCAAAGAGAUACUAGAAAAUAUCAUGGUCAUCCCUAAAUAAAUACCUUUCAUGUCUUUAUUAAUUUAUUUAGAUAAAUAGACAAAGUAAUAACCAUAUAUCAAAAGUACACAGUAAAAUCUGACAAAACUACAGAAGCUCAUAUAUUCUCUCCAAAGUCUACUGUAUAAAUUUCAUACCAUUUGGUUAAGUAUAGCAAUUUCCAUGAAAAAGAUAAAUUUCCAUCACAAGGAAGCAUGUAACAACAAGAUAAAUAAGAAACUCGACAUUUUCUACACACACAUAGCUAACUUAUGUAUCUAUAUGAUAUAACAACCUCAUAUAAAGGUAGAGGAACCAUAUUUUACAUUUAUUCAUUUUUAGUUUAAUUGUAAACUAUUUAAUAAGCACUACACAAGAUAAAUCAAUAACUUAAUCAUAUAUCAUCCAAUGAAUCUAAAAACUUAACCACAGCACACACACAUAAUCAUUAGUCUACCAUAAAAGUUUCAUCUUAAAAGAAGCUAUACAGCAAUAGAUAUGAAUUUCUUCCUUUUAAGCAUAAUUAAAAGACAUAAUUCAUAACUAAUUAUUUUACUAUAAAACAUAGUCAGUUCCAUAUUUUUAAUAAAAACUACACAUUUCAAGGAGCACAACAAAAUUUUGUUCACCAAAAUUGGAGUUACCAAACUCCAGAUAUGAAUUUCCAAAGAUUCUAACAAAUCAUCUACAAACAGGUCCUGAUGGCACUAUUCACCUGAGUCACGAACUUCGCAAUUAGACCCCUGCCUUGUGUCUAAUUCAAACGCGAGGUUCCUGGCGUGAACUGAAAACAGAGGAAGCUCGUCGGAGCUCGCAGUUUCGGCGUUGGGGUACUCGUCGGCAGCAUUGGAGCAGCGGUGGAGUUCACCUGGACUCACGCACACCCUUUGGUUCCCUCUACUUGGCCAGAGGUGGUCUGUGGAGGCAUGGCCACGUGAACAGCGGCACUGGCGGAGCUCCGGACGGGGCUAGGGAAAAACGUGGCGCUCCGGCCACUGGGAAGGCGAGGGGACGAGUUGGGGAGCAUCAGGGGCUCAGCACGACUUCGUCAAGCUGCUCAGAAGUGGUGGAGAAGCACGGAGGAGGGCUGGCCACGUGAAGCGCCCACGGCGGCGCUUUCGGCCGGAGUUAGGGGAGAAGAAGAAGCUCCGGCGAUUGGGCGGGUUUGAGGGCGUGCUAGGGAGCGCUCUGGGUUCGCAAGAGUGCGGCGAAAGUGGUGGAAGGGUCAAUUGAGUUGGAGAGGGAUCGAGUAUGGUGUAUUUGCGAAGGGAGUGGUCGCCGGUGGUUUUGGCCGUCGAAACAGAGGAACACGAAGUCGGCCGCGUGGGCAUUCAAAAGGACGAGGCGGAGGGGUCGCGGGCGUCCACGUCGCGUGGUGACGCGGCCGGCAAGUAGCUGCGUGGCGGCGAGGCGCGCGCGCGGCGCUGCACGGCCUGCGGCCGCGCGGUGACUGGAGCUCGUGAUCCAUAUCGGGACACUGUAGCAAGCUCUAUCCCUCCCUUCCCUGUCUUUUGCAAAUUACUCUCAAAAAUUGAACUGAAGUCAAAUUUCUGCCAAAAUAAAAGUUGUUCAGAAUUUUGAAUGCUACAAAACAUCUUUAAGGAUCCAAAGCUGAUUUUGAACGGAGAGGGACGAAUUUGAGCCAAACCGUUUGAAAUUCAAAUUCCAAUUUGGGGGCAAAACUGAUUUGAAUUAGGGCAGAAUAGAAAUUCCAAAAUUACUUUUGAUUUUUAUCAACAACUUGAAAAAUUCCCAACAUAAAAGUUGUUCAUUUUGUUGAGCUCUACAACUUUUAUGUUGAUCACUUUUCAAGAUUCCAAACAGAUUUUGAAUUGGGGAUUCAAAUUGGAAAAGGGGACACUUUCUAGAAAUCUGUAUUUUCAAAAUUACUUUGAAUUUUGUAUUGAAACUUCAAAAACUCAAAACACUAAAGUUGUACAUCUUGACAAGAUCUACAACUUUGAUUUUGGACUCAACCUCAAAUUUUGCUUGGUUUUUAAAUUACACAAAAGGGGGCAAAUCCAGGGUUUUAAAAUCAGGGUUUUCCCCCCUAUUUUAUCGGAAACCUUCCGCCCUAGGGGUUAUACAACCAACACAAGCAUCACUUCACAACAUAAGUACACUCUACUUCCCUAAGCACAAGCAAUCAAAAUAAACUUGUUUUAAGUUGAUGCAUAAUAAUGUGCUUAACAAAUAUGCUUUGCAAUGCUUAUGAUGACAUGAUCCGUUUUUAGUGUUCGUAACAUCAGGGAUGUUACAGCCCUUCCCCCUUAAAGAAAUCUCGUCCUCGAGAUUUAAAGCCUUAGGGUAUGUAAUGGAAAAGGAAAUGUGUUAAGCACAUUAACUUCUGAGAAGUUCAUAAAACAACUAUGAUUGGUCUGAGAAAUACAACUAAGAGCAACAAGAAGUUGUAAUCAACCAGGAAUUUUAGAGAAUUCAUAAGAAGGUAUGAAUCUCCAAAUGAGCUUCCAAGGAGAAUGAAAGCAUACUAACUGUAGACUAUAGUGGAGCAUGACCAGAGAUCCCGAUAUUUAACGAGCACCUGGUAGUAUUUCCUUAUGGCCGCGGUUCCACAGGAGACUACAAGGCUCGACGUUAUAACGUGAUCACGGAUCAUGGUACCUACUAUAGAGCACAGUUACAAUAGCUUUCAACCAAUCUAUGUUGGUUAUCCAAGUCAAGGGUUUAGGUAAUUCCCACAAAGAUAUGGGCAUGGGUUCCCAUGAUAGGGCUUAAAGAGCGAGGGCACCUUAGUUGUGGGGCUAUAAUGGAUCAUGCCCAUAACCUCGAUACCUGCACGAGCCCAGCAGAAAUUUGUGUCAUCCGGACACACAAAAGACUCUAGGUUCCGACGCGGCACCGGGGUCACGGGACAUGGCACCACUAUAGGGCACCACAACAAUAACCCAUGUCUCACAAUACCAAGAAUGUAACUAAGAUCAAAAGUCGAUCACAACCACAAGGCGUUUAGGGAACUCAAAAGGACAAAUUUGAAUCCCUAAGGAGUGUCCAAAGAAUGAAACACCCUAAUUGUGGACUAUAAGGGAUCAUGAUCAUAUACUUUGAUAACAAUGAGCGCCCAGCAGUAUUUCCUCAUGGUCAUGAGCCAUAGGAGACCCCAGGUUUCGACAUUGUUACCUAAGUUACAAGUCAUGGUACCUUAAGAGGACACAAUCAUAGUGUCAUUCAAUCAACACAUAUGUCAUCAAAUGACAGCAAGGAGGUAGCAUGUGUCAAGUUAGAUGAAAUCAAGGAAGGUCACAUGCAUAACAAGAGAAUCAAGUAUUAGGAUCUUAUGGAGUAAAAGAUUAUCAAUCGGUUAACGAAAGCUGGUACAUGAUGAGAUUCAUCAAUAAAACAGCUAUAAUGAAUAAUAACUGUUUUUGAAGCAUAUGGAGGGGUUUUUAAGUAUCAUUAUAUUGUCAUGUUAUGCAUGGUAUGCAAUAUGCUCGCCCUAUACGUUUUCUCAACGGCGAAAGUGCUCCAUCUUCAUCAUGUUAGUAGAUUAUAGGGCUUUAUUUAUACAGUAUCUUCAUCGCUCUGGAUGGAAUGUUGCAAGACUCUAGACAAAGCAUUGUUGGAGUAGUUUGAUUCUUCACUUGGCUUGUUGAAGAAGAAUUGAAGUCCCUUUCAAUGCCUUCUAUUUGAGUCAGCAGACAGUCUUCACAGAACUUGAAUAGCAAGCAUAAGAAAAGUUAAGGAGCAUUUACAAGUUGUUGUCCUCAAAAACUUUUAAUUUGUAAAUUUCUUUUGAAGUUUUUCACAAGUAAUGUUGCAGAAGAUCCAUGUAUGAGCUCCGAUACCACUCUGUGGCAGAACCACCUAAAUUAUAUGGCCCACAUGCACCUAUCAUUGUCAUUAAGACCUCUGAUUACUGCACAUGAGAGUCAUAUAACCCAGGUAGUCUGUCGGGUGCCCUUAGAGGACCCCGAAUCAUCCACAUUUUAACUCAUACAGGAUCAACAUGGAGUUACCACAACAUUACAUCAUUUGUUACAAAAAUAACUUACAUUGGAGUGCGGAAGAUUUAUAACUCAAUUUACAACAUAUGAUGGAAUAUAAACAACUAAAUUUCCAAAAGGUGUGCGGAGUAGCGGAAGCAUCUUAGGUGAAGCUUCUAAGGUAGAAGAGGUGGAUAAAUCAUGUCGCGCCCACCGACAUGACCUCCAUUAGCAGCAUAAGUCAGCACCUGCAACAGGGGUUAUAAAACCCUAAGUACGGGAGUACUCAACAAGACUUACCCGGCAGAAAAAGAGGAGAACUUAG
This 7249-nucleotide long non-coding RNA is filed under the name Sorghum bicolor (sorghum). RNAcentral describes it as "long non-coding RNA (SBIC_LNC000738)". Lineage: Eukaryota; Viridiplantae; Streptophyta; Magnoliopsida; Poales; Poaceae. The record is from RNAcentral.